RNAcentral lists this ribosomal RNA (255 nucleotides) under uncultured bacterium. RNAcentral describes it as "partial 16S ribosomal RNA". It matches the Rfam family "Bacterial small subunit ribosomal RNA", at positions 524 to 776 of the family's 1533-position model. The record is from RNAcentral.
UACGUAGGGUGCGAGCGUUGUCCGGAAUUAUUGGGCGUAAAGAGCUUGUAGGCGGUCUGUCGCGUCUGCUGUGAAAAUCCGGGGCUCAACCCCGGACUUGCAGUGGGUACGGGCAGACUAGAGUGUGGUAGGGGGAGACUGGAAUUCCUGGUGUAGUGGUGAAAUGCGCAGAUAUCAGGAGGAACACCGAUGGCGAAGGCAGGUCUCUGGGCCACUACUGACGCUGAGAAGCGAAAGCAUGGGGGAGCGAACAGG